Brassica oleracea var. oleracea is the source of this 598-nucleotide long non-coding RNA. RefSeq lists it as uncharacterized. The transcript is spliced from 3 exons. The record is from RefSeq and is a predicted model, not a curated record. Lineage: Eukaryota; Viridiplantae; Streptophyta; Magnoliopsida; Brassicales; Brassicaceae.
GCAAGAAACGGUUCUUAAUGAGGAGAAACAAGAUAAGUAUUUUGUCGUAAACGCCGACGAUGAGCGAAACCGAAGCAACCGGCGUACCCGAUGAUUCCGCUCCAGCGACUUCACUCUCCGCCGAUGCGACGGAGCAUACACCGAUCGGAGUGAUUGAAUCGGUGGAGGAAGCCGUAGGAGGAGCAGAGAAAUGGGUGGAUGAUCAUUCGUCUCCACGUCGUUUCAAGCUUCCCUCAAAUAGCUCAAGUUUUAUGUUUUCGCUCACUUUCUGCUAAUAAAUAACCUUGGAGACUGAGGUUUCCACUGGAUCAUAUUGUUCCUGGUGACCUUAACCGGACUCAGGACAUGGCUAACCGAACAGACAACUCCAAUCCCUGUAUACAUGGGCUUCCUCUUGAUACUCAACGGUUUACAACGCGAGUGAUUGGUGUUGCUCUGUUUCAUGUUACAUGUUCUUCUUUUGUUGUUUUUGUUAUUGAUUAUGGUGUGUCAUUACUUUCAUUGUGAAGAUAUACCAAAGCUUAUUCUCAUUGAUGUGUUGUUUUAUCAUAAUUUUUUUUGUAAGAACCCUUAAAUAAGAAACUUGCAAUGGAGGACA